Chelonia mydas (Green sea turtle) is the source of this 2392-nucleotide long non-coding RNA. RefSeq lists it as uncharacterized. The transcript has 4 exons. Lineage: Eukaryota; Metazoa; Chordata; Testudines; Cheloniidae. The record is from RefSeq and is a predicted model, not a curated record.
AAGGCGAGGGGGCGCCCGAGUGGCGCCAGCCAGGGCGAGGUGAUGACGGGUCGGCGGGGGUGGCCGGAGGAGCUGAGGAAGUGGAGAUAGUCCAAUACAUGAUGGAUGGGAACCCAGGAGGGGGAAACCACCUUUCUGUUGGGACCUGAUUGAUCUUUUCUAUUUGGCCAGGUCCACUUAGGAGUCUCCCACAGCUAGAAAAUGGAUCUGGCUAGAUUUGGCUGAAAGGACCACCCUGCGGAUCUUGCAUAGACCAAAGACCUUGUGGCUGCUGAAACCCCAAGUGAGCUACCCAACCUAUAACAUCUAUUCUAUAACUAAGAUGAGUACCAGUUGUGGAGCAUCAAAAGGGUAUCCCAUCCAAACUUUCAAGGGGUCUGUCUACCAGUGCAAGGAGGACAAGAUCUGCAUUGGCACUGAACCACCAUGUUUAGAUGAUGAUAGACUGGUGAAUACACCAAACCUAAAUGUACUUGUAGCUUUCUGAAGUGCAGUCUGGCAUGUUGCACCACGUAACUGCAUGCUGCUAUGUGCCCUAGAAGCUUGAGGCAGCCUCAUACUGUGGUGACAGGAUGUGCCUUAAGUCUAAAGCAAAGGCCUUCAUCAUUUGGUAUCUCAGCUGCAGAAGGAAGACCUUGGCCUUCGUAGAGACCAGGACUGCACCAAUAUAUUCUAUUCUCUGUUCAGACAUCAGGAUCGAUUUCUCCAUGUUGAUUAAUUGCCCUAGCACAUUGAAAGUGGACUGGAUAAGGAUCAUACUGGACAGCACCUGAGAUCUGGACUAGCAUCUCACCAACCAGUCAGCUAAGUAAGGGAACACGUGAACUCCUGACCUUCACAGGAAUGCUGCUACCACAACUGUGCAUUUUGUGAAUACAGGAGGAGCUGCUGAUAUGCGAAAGGGUAGCACUGAAUUGGUAGCGGGAUCAGUUUGCCACAAACCUGAGGAAUUUUCAGUGGCUCUGAUGAAUUGCCGUGUGACAAUAGGUGUCUUUUAAGUCUAGGGCAGCAUACUAAUCUGCUGGGUCCAGGGAAGGAAUAAUGGCAGCUGGAGGUACCAUCUGGAAUUUUAUUUUUUUCAGGAAUUUGUUGAGCAGCCUUAGAUCUAAAUUAGGUCUCUGAGACCCCCUUUUGCUUUCAUGAUUAGGAAAUAGUGGGAAUAAAACACCUUUCCUCUGACUAAUAGGAGAACUUCCUCUAUGGCCCCCAUGUGAAGGAGAGAUUGCACCUUGUGCAGUAGAAUGACCUUAUGAGAGUAGUUCCUGAAGAGGGAUGGGGAAAAUGGGGGAGAAGGACCAGAAACAAACUGAAGGAUGUCUCCCAUUUCCACUGUGUUUAAGACUCACUGAUCUGUGAUGAUGCGGGACCAAGCACUUAGGAAUGGGAUAGAGCAGUGUUUCCCAAACUUGGGAUAUCCCUUGGCCCGCACCACUUCCCGCAGCCCCCAUUGGCCGGGCACAGCGAACUGCGGCCAGUGGGAGCCGUGAUCGGCCGAACCUGCGGACGCGGCAGGUAAACAAACCAGCCCGGCCCGCCCGGGGCUUUCCCUGAACAAGCAGCGACCCAAGUUUGGGAAACACUGGGAUAGAUAAUUAGCAAAUAGAGAGAUAGGAGAGUGUGGCACUCUGGGAACUGAUAGUCUAUCCUUUACCAACGUGCCAGAAUGCUUCUUUGGAAGACCCAGCUUGUGCAGAUGAACUGGCAGCUGCAGAAGAGAACGGAGGUGGCAGACUUCUCUUGUAACUUCUGCCAUUCUUUCUGGGCAGGUCCUGGGUAUGAGGAAUAAAAACUGGAUACUGGUGGGUGUCCGACUCUGCGAAGUGGAUGGUCAGGCUUAGUGGUUGAAGCAGCGGCAGUCAUGCCUAGUAGUUGGGGACUGGAGCCAGGGGUCAGAGCAGGAAUCAAGAGUGGGGUUAGAACAGGGAUCUCAAACUCAAAUCACCAUGAGGGUCACAUGAGGACUAGUACAUUGGCCCGAGGGCCGCAUCACAAACCUUUUCAUACAACGAUACAAAAGUAUACUCAAAAAUGAAAAAAAAUUAAGAGUAAUAUAGUAUGCUAUUAAAAACAAUGUAUUAACUUUUUUAAAACUGUAAUGCAAAAAGUCAGUGCUAAUUUUGACAGUCAUUUCAUUUUUGGCCACUUAGCUGGCAGCAUUUUGCAUCAACCAGAGCAUCAAUAUUAGGUUGAUAUCCUGAGACGAAUAUCAGUGUUGCUUGCAAAUUGUACCACAUUCCAUACAAAAAACUACACUAAGAGAAUGUUUACACUGCACAGUUAAGCACACGUACUUUUUCUCUGCCCCUUUGAGACUAUGUGUUACCAUGUAAUCUUUUAAUUACAGGGUCACGUACGGUUUCUUGUAAAAUAUAUACCUUUUUUCUACACCCUU